UGCAGUCGAACGGUAACAGGCCGCAAGGUGCUGACGAGUGGCGAACGGGUGAGUAAUGCAUCGGAACGUGCCCAGUCGUGGGGGAUAACGCAGCGAAAGCUGUGCUAAUACCGCAUACGAUCUAUGGAUGAAAGCGGGGGACCGUAAGGCCUCGCGCGAUUGGAGCGGCCGAUGUCAGAUUAGGUAGUUGGUGGGGUAAAGGCCCACCAAGCCAACGAUCUGUAGCUGGUCUGAGAGGACGACCAGCCACACUGGGACUGAGACACGGCCCAGACUCCUACGGGAGGCAGCAGUGGGGAAUUUUGGACAAUGGGCGCAAGCCUGAUCCAGCAAUGCCGCGUGCAGGAAGAAGGCCUUCGGGUUGUAAACUGCUUUUGUACGGAACGAAACGGUCUGGGUUAAUACCCUGGGCUAAUGACGGUACCGUAAGAAUAAGCACCGGCUAACUACGUGCCAGCAGCC
This 462-nucleotide ribosomal RNA is filed under the name uncultured bacterium. RNAcentral describes it as "bacterial SSU rRNA". It matches the Rfam family "Bacterial small subunit ribosomal RNA", at positions 56 to 516 of the family's 1533-position model. The record is from RNAcentral.